GGGGAUUUAGCUCAGUGGUAGAGUGCUUGCCUAGCAAGCACAAGGCCCUGGGUUCGGUCCCCAGCUCCG
Non-coding RNA from Rattus norvegicus (Norway rat), 69 nucleotides. The record is from Rfam. Lineage: Eukaryota; Metazoa; Chordata; Mammalia; Rodentia; Muridae.